GUGUUUUAGUAACCUCCUUUAAAGUUUAAAUACUAAUUCAAAUACAACUUUUUAUGGAAAUAAUAGUAUAAAAUUAUUUUAAGAACUGAAACAACGAAAAACUGAAUUGAAAUUAUACCGAAAUUUCAGUUUGGUUCCUCUUCAUAGGCAGACCCAAAACUAGAAUCGGAACUGCACACUCUUAAUGUUUGUAUCUAGAAUGUGCCCUAUCCCAGAUUCCCUGUCCAAUUCUUCUUAACUUCAGUGCAUAUAGACAUGGACUCGCCAAUCAACACUAUAAACCAAUAUAGAUGGCAUGAUAGGCACGGUUAUCAGCAUGAAGUCCAAGUUUGACGAGCUGCUGUACCUCGAAUACAGCAUGUUCUCACUAGGCCAUUUUGUUUCUUUCCUCCUCAUAGAUGACAACGAUGACUUAAAACUUCAAAGUGGUAUAUGUUUCUGUUUUUAGAUGGUGAUUGCAGAACCCUCUCUCUUUCUUCUGAACUUUCUUUUGGCUUCCAAGGUGCGCUUAUCAGAUAUAAUGGGAGGAAACUGAAGGGCGUUUUAAAGUUUGCGAGUUUAUUAGAUAUCCAAUGAACUUCGACUAUAUUUAUGGGCUUGGGGAUCAAGAACAGAAUUAUCCAAUCUAAAUAAUAACAAAUGAUGAUAAUACUGUUCUUGAUCGUGCCCAAGUAUUUCAAGAUUUUAAUUCAGCAAAUGCUAAUAACAAGUCCAUGUCACAGGUACUAGAGCCAAUGCCAAAGUGCUCUUCCAUUGCAUCUCCAUCACUGACUGCAUAGAUUUCCUAACUCACUGUUCUUUAUUAGCUUACUUUAGAUUAUGCAGAGUAAUUUGCUAGAAGCAUAGAAUGUGUGAAAUUUGGUGAACCUGUAGUUAUUGAACUGCAUCUUUAUUCCAACCUGCGCCAGUUUCUCUAAAUGCUUAGUUUCUUCCAGGUUGGGCACAAAAACUGGGCCA
RNAcentral lists this unclassified non-coding RNA (957 nucleotides) under Hevea brasiliensis (rubber tree). The record is from RNAcentral. Lineage: Eukaryota; Viridiplantae; Streptophyta; Magnoliopsida; Malpighiales; Euphorbiaceae.